Molecule: long non-coding RNA, 375 nt
Filed under: Cricetulus griseus (Chinese hamster)
Lineage: Eukaryota; Metazoa; Chordata; Mammalia; Rodentia; Cricetidae
Description: lncRNA (ENSCGRG00000026119.1)
Source: RNAcentral
UGUGAGUUCAAGACCAGCCUGGUCUACAAAGCAAGUCCCAGGACUGUUUCCCAGAAACCCUGUCUCAAAAAAGAGGGAGGGUGGAUUUUUACAACAUUUUUAAAUUAAUAUUAAGGUUGUUUUCAAAAUAUGUUCUUAAGAACUUGAUCAACAUUUUAGUAUUCUUAUAUAUUUGAAUUUUAACAGAAAGGUUUCCUCUCUUUUAUAGCGGAGAGGAAGCCUCCUUUAUUUAAUAUGAAUGCAAUGAGUGCCUUAUAUCACAUAGCCCAAAAUGAAUCCCCUACACUACAGUCUAAUGAAUGUCUGCAGAGUGAGUUCCAGGACUACAUGGAAAAGAAUUGUCUUCGAAAACAAAACAAAACAAAACAACAACAA